Molecule: ribosomal RNA, 882 nt
Filed under: Triticum aestivum (bread wheat)
Lineage: Eukaryota; Viridiplantae; Streptophyta; Magnoliopsida; Poales; Poaceae
Description: partial small subunit ribosomal RNA
Source: RNAcentral
AUGAUCGUAACUAAGACCCUCUUUAAAAAGAGAGAAUCACAUCUAGUGACUUUUAGUAGUGGUCAACACUCUAGCCAGAUUGAUUUCAUCCUCUCGAGAAGAGAAGACACGCGUGCGUGCCUAGAUUGUAAGGUGAUACCUGGAGAGAGUGUUGUCCCUCAGCAUAAGCUUGUGGUUGUUGACUUCCGCUUUCGGAUUCAUGUCCGGCGGGAUAAGCAUGCCAAAGUCGCUAGAACGAAGUGGUGGAAGCUCAGGGGGGAGGUAGCACAGGCGUUCAAGGAGAGGGUCAUUAAGGAGGGCCCUUGGGAGGAAGGAGGGGAUGCGGACAAUAUGUUGAUGAAGAUGGCGAUUUGCAUCCGUAAGGUGGACUCAAAGGAGUUUGGAGUGUCCUGGGGAAGUAGAAGCAAAGCUAAAGAUACCUGGUGGUGGAAUGAUGAUGUCCAGAAAGAUUGUUUCAGACGCCUAUACUUGUAUAGGAGUGCAAACAAUAUAGAGAAGUACAAGAUGGCGAAGAAGGCUACAAAGAGAGCUGUGAGUGAAGCGAGGGGUCGGGCAUAUGAGGACCUCUACCAGCAGUUAGACACGAAGGAAGGCGAAAGGGACAUCUAUAAGAUGGCCAAGAUCCGAGAGAGAAAGACGAGGGAUGUUGACCAAGUCAAAUGCAUCAAGGACGUUGCAAACCAGCUCCUAGUGAAGGAUAAGGAGAAUAAGGGUUUGUUUGGGACUGCUCUGCUUCAUCAAAAUCAGUUUCAGUCCACUAAAUUCACACUGGAGCAGUUACAUACAGAAGUUGUAGCACUACAAAAGAAAAUGUUUGGCUUCCAUCUAGCUCCAGCUUCAAGAAUAGGAAAUUUGGUGGAAAGGAUCUAUUUGAUUGGAUGA